RNAcentral lists this unclassified non-coding RNA (259 nucleotides) under Hevea brasiliensis (rubber tree). The record is from RNAcentral. Lineage: Eukaryota; Viridiplantae; Streptophyta; Magnoliopsida; Malpighiales; Euphorbiaceae.
GGAAUCAAAUGAAAAAAAGAGUUUCCAAACACUAUCAUUCCCAUUUAUGGGUAUUUUUAUGGUAGAACCGAACAAAUGGAAUCCUAAUUUCUUUGCGACUGUAUAUACAAGGCUUCUCAUUCAAGAAAGAGCAUACUCUGAGACAACAUGAACGCGAUUGCAAGCCCGCCCUAUACCAAAAACUCACAGGCAAGAGGUAAGUCCACAGGUUGGGCUGCCUUUGGCCUCAAGCAGUGUCAGAAACAAGGUCUUCAACUUC